RNAcentral lists this long non-coding RNA (3015 nucleotides) under Apteryx owenii (little spotted kiwi). RNAcentral's name for it is "lncRNA (ENSAOWG00000001504.1)". Lineage: Eukaryota; Metazoa; Chordata; Aves; Apterygiformes; Apterygidae. The record is from RNAcentral.
GCCCGGCGCCCCCUCCCUGCCCCCCCGAGCCGGGCUAACGGCGACGGAAAGGGAGGAUGUGGCGACUAAGGACAAAGGCUCACAAGCCGCAGAGGAGGAACAGCCCGGUCAGCUACAGGCACAGGCAAUUACAGGUAUUCGAGUCCGAACGCUUAACACCCAGAACGGCUCCUGGGAUCACGGUUCCAACAGGAUCGUGUACGCUGCUAACGUCGUCAGCCCCUGCAAGUCUAAAACGGGGAAAAUACGAUUUAUUGGGAGAGAUGGAGCAAACGGCACAAGGUGUUGUUUAGGCAAGAGAAGAGUUCACAUACUUCACAGCUUAACAGAACCUGAUGGCACGGAAGAUUUUUUUCACCCUCCCCUUAUCUUGAUUACGAGGAGGAAAGGUAAAUUAGCCUUUGCGCCCAAGCAAACAGGGACAUCCUUCUCUGCUGAAGGGAGAACAAUCUUUGAACCCAGCCGAUCACACAGCCUCAGACAGGAGAUCUUGAGGUCCUAGCUAUUGCUACAGAAGCCGCUGUGGUCUGAAAACCAGCGUGUAGUGGUUAAGUUCAGAACAACUGCAAUACCUUUAAAAUCUUUCAAAUGUCCAAAGCCUUAUCAUAAUUCUGGAAGAACAUCCAGUCCUACCUACACUGCAAGCCGUAAACCUAGUGAAGCGACAACAAGAGGUAAUCAGGGAUUUGCACAGAGCUGUUACAAGUUCAAAGGGACAAGGGAGGUUUUGUCGUUUUCCACUCGUUUCCGGGUGGUCAGGCACCCCGCAGUCGCACUGUACCACCACAUGACAGCUCCGGUGGAGGAGAAGACCUUCCCCGAGCAGCAGCCAGCAAGUCAGAGAGGUCAGGGAUGAGCACGAGGAAUUUCCUUGGACAAGAGCAGUGGUCGCCAGCCCCGGCUCACGGGCAGUGCCCCAUUCCUCCUCACGGUGCCGUUUUGCUUCCCCCAGACUCCUGUUUUCACAAGUGAACCGUUUGGGGGGGGGGGGGGGGGUUCACUUAAGCAGCUCCGCUCUCCCUGGCCGUGCCGGUUCCUGCUCGCGUGGGGCUCCGCGCCAGCGGGCCGCGGCCAAGGCAGCGUUGGGCAGCCACCGCAGCAGGAGCCGCCCCCGGCACCCGCUGCCCCUGCCUCCCCGCAGCAUCAGCCCAGACUUCCACCUGCCUUCAGCGAGAGGGGAGUCACCCGCCUGUCCUGCACGCUGGUCUACAACCAUGCGGGGUUUCUUCGUACGCACGCGCUCUGCAAACAUGGACAUGAGCACCUUCAUCGCCCAGCUCCAAAGUCCAGCAUCCUCAGAGCACUUUUUCUCCUGCUGUUUUCCCUAGGCAUACACUUGAUGCAAAGGUUCUUCCUGGUCACCAUGAUGCUGCAUGAUACCAAAGAUGAAGGUAUAAGCACAGAAGAGCCUGUCUGGACACAGAUGGGGAGAAGCAGAGGCGACAGAGAACCUCCGUGUUAUCUGAGACGAGAGACAGCAGGGGGUUGGUACUGGCUUGCCAGAGCGACAAGAAGGAAUAAUCUCUGCUAAAGACACCAGCCUCGUAGGGAUUAUAAAUGUAAAAGGAGAUGAAUUUAUACAGUUGAACCUAAUCCAUAGAAAACACUGCAGAGAGGACCAGGAGACAGGAGAGCGAGCCUGAUGGCUAGCUGUAGGCAACCAGCCAGGUGGUGACGGAUGAAUCAUGUUAAAAACCUACAGAGGAGCACCAGAAAAGGCCUUUUAAUAUAGAAGUGCUUUCUCUCCAGGUUGUCCCGCUUCACGGCUUUUGUGGAGGGCCUUUCUCAUUGCCCCGGUGCUGAGGACCGGGAGGCCCACGGCCACUGCCCAGCCCCAGCGUUCGCAGCACCGUCCCCACGUUGUCCUCCUCAGGAAGGCACAGCAAGAGCCUCUUGCAAACGCUCCCUUCUCGACAGCGGCCGAGGCGAAAGCGAGGCAGCUCAUCCUUGCGCAGUUUGCAUCUCUGUGAUGAUUAAAUUAAAGUGACGAGGCCCUAAUACUCCUCGCUGGCAUCUUUGGGACCAUAUAGCAUCACAGCAGCUCACACACGCCUGUUCCCUGAGCUCUGUAUCCUGCUUGUCCCUUCAUACUUAUCCUCUAUUUGAAAAAAACUGUACCCAUUCCAUACAGUCCAGGUUAAAACCUUCUACUUAGGAAAAUCUACAUACUCAUUUGCCAACAGCAGUCUUCAGGAAUAAUUUUGAGGCGGCCUUCCUAACUUACAGUCACAAAAGGUGCGGGUGCAGUAGUUAACGUGUACAGCUAGCUGCUCGUGGCACCCAUUUCUACCCAGCCUAUACCAGCAGAUAACUGGUCUUUUCCCAUGGCUUUGGGUCUCUGCACACACAAAUUGCUGCAUGUGCAUUUGUAGAGGCUUUUUAAAACAUGAGGUUUUGUAGCAGCAGGAAAUGGGGCCUCCGCUGAGGGUGGUGGGCUUGAGUUGCAAGCACACAAGAGAAGCCCACGAGGGCUCUGCCUGUGGCUGAGGCUGCUAAGCGCAGCUCACUCCAGCGAAUGCCAUGCUUGAAUACAGCACUCGUUAUAUUCAGCAAAAGGUUGUCAGCGUUUCUGCAGUGACACUGCAUGAGGACCCAAGUCCGCUCUCAUUUGCCAGACCAUUUCCUUCAUCUUGCGCUUGAGCAUCUCAGCAGACGCUGUGCAAGAUGCUGCAAUGCAAGCGAGAACAAACCCUGCCACAGUGCCCUGGCUGGUGGCCUGUCUCCUGGGCUGGGAGACUGAAAGACGGUUUCCAAAGCUGGAGAGGUAUAAAAUAUUGUGAUAGCUAAAAGUGAACUGUCAUGGUCUUUCAAAUGAAAGGGAGGCAAAGUGCAUAGCAGAGGCAAAGUAAUUUGAUUCCAGAAAAAAACAAUUUACUGCUAAAACCAGUCACAGUGCGGUUUUGGCUGUUCACAUCAGAAGAACAAGCACUUACGAUGUCUUUAAUUAUUCAUUUUUAUAAGUCUUGUACUAGCUCUGCAACAACCGUAAAUGCAUUCUACUAAAUAUAAAUAAAC